GGGUGAGUAACACGUGGGUGAUCUGCCUUGCACUCUGGGAUAAGCUUGGGAAACUGGGUCUAAUACCGGAUAGGAACCGUCUUUAGUGUGGUGGUUGGAAAGUUUUUUCGGUGCAAGAUGAGCUCGCGGCCUAUCAGCUUGUUGGUGGGGUAAUGGCCUACCAAGGCGUCGACGGGUAGCCGGCCUGAGAGGGUGUACGGCCACAUUGGGACUGAGAUACGGCCCAG
Molecule: ribosomal RNA, 227 nt
Filed under: uncultured Actinomycetales bacterium
Lineage: Bacteria; Bacillati; Actinomycetota; Actinomycetes; Actinomycetales
Description: partial 16S ribosomal RNA
Rfam family: Bacterial small subunit ribosomal RNA
Source: RNAcentral